Molecule: long non-coding RNA, 1040 nt
Filed under: Homo sapiens (human)
Lineage: Eukaryota; Metazoa; Chordata; Mammalia; Primates; Hominidae
Description: HSALNT0105290
Source: RNAcentral
UGAGGGCAGAAGGAACUUAACAUAAAUCUGGGGAGAGGGAUACUUGGCUGCAGGGCCAGCCUGGGGUAAGCAGAAAGGCUGGCAUGUCCCAAAGCCCAGGGAAAGGCAUAACCCUACAAAAGGGCAAGGAGCACAUUGGAGGUAAUGGGAGACAUGGACAGAUGACGUGAGGCUGGAGGGCUAGGGGGGAGUUCACAAUUGAUGGCCGAGGUGUUUAUCAGUGAACUAAGAGUGGAUGUUGUCAACUGAUAGGGACGAGAGUUUGAGGGUAAUGAUAAACUCUGGGAAUUGGGGGAAAAGGGCCAGCAUGAAUUAGCAAAACUGACUGGUAGGCAGCAGCAGAGGGGGCCCUGCCCUGCUGAGCUGUGAACUAUACAUUUGUGAUGGAAGAAACUGGUAGUUAUGCAUUUUUCUCUUAGCAGAGCUACAGUAUAAGGCUUGAGAAAAUGAAAGGUUCCACUGUUCCAAGGCUGGAGACCAGCAAGGCAAGCCCAGCAUAAAGAAAAGGGAACCAAGGGUUUUAAACAGAUUGACCAUGAGGUAGAGAAAAACAUGAUAUGUAACCGAAGGGCUUCAAGUUGGGAUGAGCAGCCAUAACAUGUUUCCAGAGAAGGGAGUGGUGGGAAGCCAAGGCGGGGGAUCCACAGGUCUGGAUUUUGGCCCUCGCCCACUGAAUGCAAGUACAGAGAAACAAGAAGGCUAAAGAGGAACGGGUGGAGCAGAUACAGUGCCAAGAGACAGGGUUCCGUGAGGAGCCAGACAUGGUGAACACAGAGGAGCAGAAGCCCCAGGACAUUUCUGAGGGAAGAGGUUCCAAAGGAAGCUGGAGAUGACCUAGAGCCUUUGGCUUCUCCGCCUAACAUCCGCUUGGGCAGGGAAGGGGAGAGAAGGAGAACACGAAGUGAGGCAUGGGAAUGAGACAAUGGUGGGAAAAGAGGACGCUGGAAGGAAGAUCUACUCUUCCAGUCUGCAGGUGGCCCCCGAGGAGCCGCAGUAGGUCAUGGUAGGGGAGAAUUACAGGCGGGGAAAGUGCAAAGCUG